This 90-nucleotide non-coding RNA is filed under the name unclassified sequences. Its description in RNAcentral is "DUF3800-VII RNA". It matches the Rfam family "DUF3800-VII RNA". The record is from Rfam by way of RNAcentral.
AGCGAUAGAUUUGAACUUAUGAAGGCAGGUGCAUAAACCAGCAGCAAUUCUAUGAAUUGUGGGAUCCUUCGUUCAGAAUGUCGCUUUUUU